UACGGAGGGUGCAAGCGUUAUCCGGAUUCACUGGGUUUAAAGGGUGCGUAGGCGGGCAGGUAAGUCCGUGGUGAAAUCUCUGAGCUUAACUCAGAACGGCCAAGUGAUACUGCUGUGCUAGAGUGCAGAAGGGGCAAUCGGAAUUCUUGGUGUAGCGGUGAAAUGCGUAGAUAUCAAGAGGAACACCUGAGGUGAAGACGGGUUGCUGGGCUGACACUGACGCUGAGGCGCGAAAGCCAGGGGAGCAAACGGG
Molecule: ribosomal RNA, 253 nt
Filed under: uncultured bacterium
Lineage: Bacteria
Description: partial 16S ribosomal RNA
Rfam family: Bacterial small subunit ribosomal RNA
Source: RNAcentral